GACGAGCCGAGCGAACGUUGUUCGGAAUCACUGGGCUUAAAGGGCGCGUAGGCGGGCGAUCAAGUCGGUGGUGAAAUCCCACAGCUCAACUGUGGAACUGCCUCCGAUACUGGUUGUCUCGAGGAAGGUAGGGGCGUGUGGAACUGUUGGUGGAGCGGUGAAAUGCGUUGAUAUCAACAGGAACUCCGGUGGCGAAGGCGACACGCUGGACCUUAUCUGACGCUGAGGCGCGAAAGCCAGGGGAGCAAACGGG
Molecule: ribosomal RNA, 253 nt
Filed under: uncultured bacterium
Lineage: Bacteria
Description: partial 16S ribosomal RNA
Rfam family: Bacterial small subunit ribosomal RNA
Source: RNAcentral